RNAcentral lists this transfer RNA (59 nucleotides) under Hyalella tiwanaku. RNAcentral's name for it is "tRNA-Ile". The record is from RNAcentral. Lineage: Eukaryota; Metazoa; Arthropoda; Malacostraca; Amphipoda; Hyalellidae.
AAUAAAGAGCCUGAAAUAGGGGUACCCUGAUACUGUACAUAUGCUAAUAGCCUUUAUUU